CGAAAGCCUGACGGAGCAAUACCGCGUGAGGGAGGAAGGCUCUUGGGUUGUAAACCUCAAAACUUAGGGAAGAAAAAAAUGACGGUACCUAAUAUAAGCAUCGGCUAACUCCGUGCCAGCAGCCGCGGUAAUACGGAGGAUGCAAGCGUUAUCCGGAAUCAUUGGGCGUAAAGCGUCCGUAGGUGGCAUUUCAAGUCUGCUGUCAAAGACCGAAGCUCAACUUCGGGUAGGCGGUGGAAACUGAAAAGCUAGAGUAUAGUAGGGGUAGAGGGAAUUCCUAGUGUAGCGGUGAAAUGCGUAGAGAUUAGGAAGAACACCAGUGGCGAAGGCGCUCUACUGGGCAUAUACUGACACUGAGGGACGAAAGCUAGGGUAGCG
RNAcentral lists this ribosomal RNA (378 nucleotides) under Synechocystis sp. AECC1311. Its description in RNAcentral is "bacterial SSU rRNA". It matches the Rfam family "Bacterial small subunit ribosomal RNA", at positions 376 to 770 of the family's 1533-position model. The record is from RNAcentral. Lineage: Bacteria; Bacillati; Cyanobacteriota; Cyanophyceae; Synechococcales; Merismopediaceae.